GAUGAACGCUGGCGGCGUGCCUAAUACAUGCAAGUCGAGCGAACAGACGAGGAGCUUGCUCCUCUGACGUUAGCGGCGGACGGGUGAGUAACACGUGGAUACCCUACCUAUAAGACUGGGAUAACUUCGGGAAACCGGAUCUAAUACCGGAUAAUAUCUUGAACCGCAUGGUUCAAUAGUGAAAGUCGGUUUUUCUGUCACUUAUAGAUGGAUCCGCGCCGCAUUAGCUAGUUGGUAAGUUAACGGCUUACCAAGGCGACGAUGCGUAGCCGACCGGAGAGGGUGAUAGGCCACCCGGGAACGGAGACACGGUCCAGACGCCUACGGGAGGCAGCAGUAGGGAAUCUUCCGCAAUGGGCGAAAGCAUGACGGAGCAACGCCGCGUGAGUGAUGAAGGUCUUCGGAUCGUAAAACUCUGUUAUUAGGGAAGAACAAAUGUGUAAGUAACUAUGCACGUAUUGACGGUACCUAAUCAGAAAGCAACGGCUAACUACGUG
RNAcentral lists this ribosomal RNA (497 nucleotides) under uncultured bacterium. Its description in RNAcentral is "partial 16S ribosomal RNA". It matches the Rfam family "Bacterial small subunit ribosomal RNA", at positions 28 to 507 of the family's 1533-position model. The record is from RNAcentral.